GAUGAACGCUGGCGGCGUGCCUAAUACAUGCAAGUCGAGCGAACGGACGAGAAGCUUGCUUCUCUGAUGUUAGCGGCGGACGGGUGAGUAACACGUGGAUACCCUACCUAUAAGACUGGGAUAACUUCGGGAAACCGGAGCUAAUACCGGAUAAUAUUUUGAACCGCAUGGUUCAAAAGUGAAAGACGGUCUUGCUGUCACUUAUAGCUGGAUCCGCGCUGCAUUAGCUAGUUGGUAAGGUAACGGCUUACCAAGGCUACGAUGCAUAGCCGACCUGAGAGGGGGAUAGGCCACACUGGAACUGAGACACGGUCCAGACUCCUACGGGAGGCAGCAGUAGGGAAUCUUCCGCAAUGGGCGAAAGCCUGACGGAGCAACGCCGCGUGAGUGAUGAAGGUCUUCGGAUCGUAAAACUCUGUUAUUAGGGAAGAACAUAUGUGGAAGUAACUGUGCACAUCUUGACGGUACCUGGUCAGAAAGCCACGGCUAACUACGUG
Molecule: ribosomal RNA, 497 nt
Filed under: uncultured bacterium
Lineage: Bacteria
Description: partial 16S ribosomal RNA
Rfam family: Bacterial small subunit ribosomal RNA
Source: RNAcentral